GAAAAGUCACAAACUUGCCUAUUUGAAUAUUUGAUUGUACAUAUUAAUUUGAAAACAUACUUAUUUUAGUCGUUUGAGAUGUUUUUCAUUCUUUUUUAAAAAAAUUCCCAAACUAACAAUGUUAUAAGAAAGCCAAAAGGUUAUUUUAACCAAGAUGAACACAUGAUAUUAAGAAGCACAAAGGUAGAAACGUGUCUUUCAACUGUAGCGGAAGACAUAUCUACCUCUCUCGGUAGCAGAAAAUACGGAAUCUGAUUCGUCCCAUAGCUCCAACAGUUGCUUGGCACUCAAUAUUCUGGAAUCAGCUCACUUUCCCAGUAACACAUUAUACUCGUAUGUGUUUACUCUUCCCUCUAAAUUUGGAUAUAGCCUGCCACUUGCUUACUCUGUUCAGUGGGACAAAAAACAGUAACUACUUGCUAUUGAAAUGCCCUUACUCCCUCUAGAUUUGGUCUGCAACAGCUUCAUCACUCAGCUUAACCUCACCUAUAAACUUUGGACUGAAAGUAACCAUGGGCCCCAUCUUCAAGCGAUUAUUGGUUCUAAUAGAAAGGUGAUCACUGAAACAAUCCAAGAAGAAUAGAUUCUAUGCAAUAAAAGGAAAAAAAAAUUGUUUAGAAAUAUAACUUUGUAUCCUUCCUCUAGUUAAAACUUAAAACACAACAUACUGC
This 671-nucleotide long non-coding RNA is filed under the name Brassica napus (rape). RNAcentral describes it as "long non-coding RNA (BNAP_LNC005994)". Lineage: Eukaryota; Viridiplantae; Streptophyta; Magnoliopsida; Brassicales; Brassicaceae. The record is from RNAcentral.